RNAcentral lists this ribosomal RNA (390 nucleotides) under uncultured bacterium. RNAcentral's name for it is "bacterial SSU rRNA". It matches the Rfam family "Bacterial small subunit ribosomal RNA", at positions 28 to 420 of the family's 1533-position model. The record is from RNAcentral.
GUUGAACGCUGGCGGCAUGCCUAACACAUGCAAGUCGAACGGCAGCGCGGGCUUCGGCCUGGCGGCGAGUGGCGGACGGGUGAGGAAUACAUAGGAAUCUGCCCAGUCGUGGGGGAUAACCCGGGGAAACCCGGACUAAUACCGCAUACGACGGUGACGUGAAAGCAGGGGACCUUCGGGCCUUGCGCGAUUGGAUGAGCCUAUGUCGGAUUAGCUAGUUGGCGGGGUAAAGGCCCACCAAGGCGACGAUCCGUAGCUGGUCUGAGAGGAUGAUCAGCCACACUGGGACUGAGACACGGCCCAGACUCCUACGGGAGGCAGCAGUGGGGAAUAUUGGACAAUGGGCGCAAGCCUGAUCCAGCAAUGCCGCGUGGGUGAAGAAGGCCUCGG